RNAcentral lists this ribosomal RNA (305 nucleotides) under uncultured bacterium. RNAcentral's name for it is "bacterial SSU rRNA". It matches the Rfam family "Bacterial small subunit ribosomal RNA", at positions 337 to 639 of the family's 1533-position model. The record is from RNAcentral.
GCCUACGGGAGGCAGCAGUGGGGAAUAUUGCGCAAUGGGGGCAACCCUGAACCAGCCAAGUCGCGUGAGGGAAGACUGCCCUAUGGGUUGUAAACCUCUUUUGUCAGGGAGCAACGCCGGCUACGUGUAGCCGGACUGAGAGUACCUGAAGAAAAAGCAUCGGCUAACUCCGUGCCAGCAGCCGCGGUAAUACGGAGGAUGCGAGCGUUAUCCGGAUUUAUUGGGUUUAAAGGGUGCGUAGGCGGAAUGCCAAGUCAGCGGUAAAAUCGCGGGGCUCAACCUCGCUCCGCCGUUGAAACUGGCGU